GAUGAACGCUGGCGGCGUGCCUAAUACAUGCAAGUCGAGCGAACGGACGAGAAGCUUGCUUCUCUGAUGUUAGCGGCGGACGGGUGAGUAACACGUGGAUAACCUACCUAUAAGACUGGGAUAACUUCGGGAAACCGGAGCUAAUACCGGAUGAUAUUUUGAACCGCAUGGUUCAAAAGUGAAAGACGGUCUUGCUGUCACUUAUAGAUGGAUCCGCGCUGCAUUAGCUAGUUGGUAAGGUAACGGCUUACCAAGGCAACGAUGCAUAGCCGACCUGAGAGGGGGAAUCGCCCACCUGGAACUGGAGAACGGGCCAGGACCCUAAGGGGGGCCGGAGGAGGGGAAUCUUCGGAAAUGGGGGAAAGCCUGACGGAGCACCGCGGGGUGAGGAUUGAAGGUCUUCGGUCCGAAAAACUCUGUUAUAGGGAAAGAAAAUUUGGGAAAGUACCGGGCAACACUUGGCGGGUACCUAUUAAAAAGGCCAGGCUAAAUACCGU
This 497-nucleotide ribosomal RNA is filed under the name uncultured bacterium. RNAcentral's name for it is "partial 16S ribosomal RNA". It matches the Rfam family "Bacterial small subunit ribosomal RNA", at positions 28 to 506 of the family's 1533-position model. The record is from RNAcentral.